Molecule: ribosomal RNA, 245 nt
Filed under: uncultured bacterium
Lineage: Bacteria
Description: partial 16S ribosomal RNA
Rfam family: Bacterial small subunit ribosomal RNA
Source: RNAcentral
AUGGCGACCGGCGCACGGGUGAGUAACGCGUAUGCAACCUGCCCGAUACCGGGGUAUAGCCCAUGGAAACAUGGAUUAACACCCCAUAGUACUUUUAUCCUGCCUGGGAUGGGAGUUAAAUGUUCAAGGUAUCGGAUGGGCAUGCGUCCUAUUAGUUAGUUGGCGGGGUAACAGCCCACCAAGACGAUGAUAGGUAGGGGUUCUGAGAGGAAGGUCCCCCACAUUGGAACUGAGACACGGUCCAA